AGGAAUGGGAAUCGAACCCACAGUGGUCUGCUUACCGGGCAGAUGUUAUUUCCACUAGGCUCC
This 63-nucleotide transfer RNA is filed under the name Cordylochernes scorpioides. Its description in RNAcentral is "tRNA-Thr". Lineage: Eukaryota; Metazoa; Arthropoda; Arachnida; Pseudoscorpiones; Chernetidae. The record is from RNAcentral.